ACACCCCAUCCCAUUCCGAACUGGACCGUGAAACCUCUUAGCGUCGAUGGUACUGCGUCUUAAGGCGUGGGAGAGUAGAUCGCUGCCAGAU
This 91-nucleotide ribosomal RNA is filed under the name Alphaproteobacteria bacterium. Lineage: Bacteria; Pseudomonadati; Pseudomonadota; Alphaproteobacteria. The record is from RNAcentral.